This 524-nucleotide ribosomal RNA is filed under the name uncultured bacterium. RNAcentral's name for it is "bacterial SSU rRNA". It matches the Rfam family "Bacterial small subunit ribosomal RNA", at positions 28 to 545 of the family's 1533-position model. The record is from RNAcentral.
AUUGAACGCUGGCGGCAUGCCUUACACAUGCAAGUCGAACGGCAGCACGGGUGCUUGCACCUGGUGGCGAGUGGCGAACGGGUGAGUAAUACAUCGGGACAUGUCCUGUAGUGGGGGAUAGCCCGGCGAAAGCCGGAUUAAUACCGCAUACGAUCUACGGAUGAAAGCGGGGGACCUUCGGGCCUCGCGCUAUAGGGUUGGCCGAUGGCUGAUUAGCUAGUUGGUGGGGUAAAGGCCUACCAAGGCGACGAUCAGUAGCUGGUCUGAGAGGACGACCAGCCACACUGGGACUGAGACACGGCCCAGACUCCUACGGGAGGCAGCRGUGGGGAAUUUUGGACAAUGGGCGAAAGCCUGAUCCAGCAAUGCCGCGUGUGUGAAGAAGGCCUUCGGGUUGUAAAGCACUUUUGUCCGGAAAGAAAUCCUUGGCUCUAAUACAGUCGGGGGAUGACGGUACCGGAAGAAUAAGCACCGGCUAACUACGUGCCAGCAGCCGCGGUAAUACGUAGGGUGCGAGCGUUAAU